RNAcentral lists this long non-coding RNA (1243 nucleotides) under Fragaria vesca (wild strawberry). RNAcentral describes it as "long non-coding RNA (FVES_LNC005024)". The record is from RNAcentral. Lineage: Eukaryota; Viridiplantae; Streptophyta; Magnoliopsida; Rosales; Rosaceae.
AGGCAUCCUGCAAGUGAUGAUAUCAAUUCUCAUUUUAGGUUAACCUUAUAACUCACUUACUUCUUUAACCCAAUCAAGUUGAUUGUAUACACUUAUUAUAUAUAGGGAAAAUGCCAUAAUGCCUAAAUAUUUGAAAACUAAAUAUCAUUCCAAUGAUAAUAAGAUUCUUGACCCCAAUUAAAUGAAAGAGAGACUUAUUUGUGCCCAAAUACACAAAUCUUUAUUAAAUUUAUAAUAAAAUAAUAUUUUUGAGACAUUUUUACCCUUGGUCCUUAUAUAUAUGCUUAGAGAGAAAAAGUGUAAGAGAGAGAGAGAAAAAAAUUUGCCGGUAGCUCACCGGAUCUCCGGACACCGGUUGCCGAACUCUGGUCACCGGACACCGGCCGCGGGACUCCGGUCGUCGGACGCCGGACUCGGUUACUGACCCCCAGUAACUCUGUUACUCCGGCGACCGAUCGCCGGAACUCAGUUUUUGACCCUAGAAACUCAAUUACUAACCCCAGAAAUUCAGUUACUAACCCAAUAAACUCAGUUACUGACCCCCAGUAACUGGGUUACUCUGGCGACCAAUCACCGGAACUCAGUUUCUAACCCCAAAAACUCAUUUAUUGACCCUAAAAAUUCAGUUAUUGACCUAAAAAACUUAGUUACUGACACCUAGUAACUGGGUUACUCCAGCGACCGAUCACCGGAACUCAUUUUCUAACCCUAGAAACUCAGUUACUGACCCUAGAAAUUCAGUUACUGACCCAAAAAACUCAGUUACUAACCCCAGUAACCGAGUUACUGAUCCCCAGUAAUCCUCAGUAACUCAGUUACUGACCCUAGAAACUCAGUUACUGACCCCCAAUAAUCGGUUACUGACCCCCAGUAAUCCCCAGUAACUCAAUUACUGAUCCCCAAUAAUCGACUUAUUGGCUCCAAAUAUUGUAGAAACUCGGUUUCUAACCUUUAAAAACUAUCUUUCUGACUCCAGAAACCCCGUUAGUGACCCCAAAAUGCAUAAAAGCCCACCGAAAAAUAUCAUGCUUCCAUUUCAUCUUCGCCAUUGCCCCACAUUCAAUAUUCAACAUAAUAUAACUACCACAAUAAUGAUUCUUCUCAAUAAUACAAGAAAAAAAAAAGCCAUAGUAACCAAUACAUUCAAUAAGUAAAACACAGAAAUUCAACCAAAAUUCACAAUAACAGAAAAAGCAAAAAAAAAGAGAAAAGUGAAAAACGAGAGAGAGAGAGAGAGAGAGAG